Non-coding RNA from Salmo salar (Atlantic salmon), 73 nucleotides. Lineage: Eukaryota; Metazoa; Chordata; Actinopteri; Salmoniformes; Salmonidae. The record is from Rfam.
GUUCUGUGAGCUCAGUUGGUAGAGCAUGGCAUUUGCAACACCAUGGUUGUGGGUUUGAUUCCCACUGGGGACA